UUUUCAAUUGCUGAAGAAUAAUGAGAGAGUCUGUAUUUGCCGGGGCUCAAAUUCAUGAGCUUCUUUUCAAGUCUGAGUAGUUGAGUUUCUCCUAUUUGCUAUGAAUUGUUUCCUGGCUGAAGAGUAAAUUCCAGAGUUCUUAUUCCAACCUGCUGUCAGGCCUGUGUACCUCUCUGGAAAGGCACAGUUAGAUGGGCUGUAUCCACCUUUCCUGAAGUCUGUGGCUUCACACUGUCUAAGGGGAGGGCAAUGCCAGGGUCACCUCUCCUGCUGGACUGUGCUCAUGUCAGGAGUCUGGCUUUCUGAAGAGAGCUAAAGGAACAUGAAGCAUCUGAUGUAGCUUCCCUCAACUCAUUCUUUUCUUGCCCUUUCUUACAUUCCAGCCCUGCUUGUCCUGGAAUUCUCUCCAUUCCCUGUGUUAGGGAUAGCAUAGGUGCCUCUCAGAAUGAAGAGGCAGAGAUUAAGCUCUGCACCUUCUCUCCCUUCCCCUCAUGUUGGGGCAGGUGCUUGCAAUGCCCAGAUCCAUCAGCAAAACCUGUGCUCAUCCCAGAAUUGACUGCAGAAGGAGGAAAUUGCAUUUCCAUUUCCUCCUGCAAGGAGAGGUGGGGUGGAGCUGAGAGGUUUGGGUCAGUUUAUGCUUCCCCAGUUCCAGGUGAAGGAUUCAGGCCUUCCUGGGUGGAAGCUGUUAUUGAAGGACUUGGAAUUGGAUUCUGGAACAAUGGGUCUAAAGUGUGCUCUGUUGAAUAUCACCUACUUGUCAAAACCUGCCAUAACACAAGGAAUUAAAAGGAAUCUGUCUUGCAGUAUGUGCAAAUUGAAAUGAGAUACAGAUUUCUAGAGGAGGGCUUUCUGAAUCAGCUGUGAUAAAAAAAGGAGGGGGGAAAAAAAAAGGCUUGGUUGCAUCUAAACACUGGAAGACGAGAGACGCUACAGCAUGCCCAUAUUGUGGUGGGAAAGAACCAGGAGAAGAAGAGCAGUAGAAAGUCUGACAACUGUGCUGGAGUUGGAGUGCAAUCUGAUAGGGGAAACUCAGUGCAGCUUCAAUAUAUCUGGCCCCUGCAUUAAAAUAGCUGCAGGCAGCACAUGCUUCUCUGUGUGGUUUAGAAUGUGCUUUGUGUAGUACAAAGAAAUAUGGAUAAGAUUUGUCAUGUGCCUUGUUGUGCUCUGCUAAGCAAGGAGGAUCUACUUCUGCCAUCACACUAAAUCCUGUCCCCAUCACCCUAAUUAACAGGGAAUCAGUUGGAUAUUCCAAUGCUGUUGGUAGAUGCUGUACAGGCACCAGUUUUGCAUUUUUGUCUAAAAUUACUUUAGAAAAAAUUUGCAUUUUGAGGCGGGU
Passer domesticus (house sparrow) is the source of this 1336-nucleotide long non-coding RNA. RefSeq lists it as uncharacterized. The transcript has 4 exons. The record is from RefSeq and is a predicted model, not a curated record. NCBI's taxonomy places the organism in Eukaryota, Metazoa, Chordata, Aves, Passeriformes, Passeridae.